CAUACCGUUACGUUGCCUNGGCAGGUCGCGCCUACCCUG
This 39-nucleotide ribosomal RNA is filed under the name Xylaria sp. 16 RV-2015. RNAcentral's name for it is "partial 18S ribosomal RNA". The record is from RNAcentral. Lineage: Eukaryota; Fungi; Ascomycota; Sordariomycetes; Xylariales; Xylariaceae.